Molecule: ribosomal RNA, 814 nt
Filed under: uncultured bacterium
Lineage: Bacteria
Description: bacterial SSU rRNA
Rfam family: Bacterial small subunit ribosomal RNA
Source: RNAcentral
AAAUCGAACGCUGGCCGGCGUGGCUAAAGCAUGCAAGUCGUACGCGAAAGUUCCCUUCGGGGAGCGAUUAGAGUGGCGAAAGGGCGAGUAAUGCAUGGGUAACGUACCUCGGGCUUAGGGAUAGCCGCGGGAAACUGCGGGUAAUACCCAAUGAUACCAUCGUUUCAUAAGUUAUGAUGGUCAAAGGUGGGGAUCUUCGGACCUACCGGCCUGAGAGCGGCCCAUGUCCUAUCAGCUAGUUGGUGAGGUAACGGCCCACCAAGGCAACGACGGGUACCGGGACUGAGAGGUUGACCCGGCGCAUUGGGACUGAGACACUGCCCAGACUCCUACGGGGGGCUGCAGCAACGAAUAUUCCGCAAUGGACGAAAGUCUGACGGAGCGACGCCGCGUGCGGGAAUAAGCCCUUCGGGGUGUAAACCGCUGUCAGGGAUCACCAAGCAAAGGGGACGAAUAGUCCUCUGCGUUGAGGAAAUCCCGGAGGAAGCCACGGCUAACUUCGUGCCAGCAGCCGCGGUAAUACGAAGGUGGCUAGCGUUGUUCGGAAUCACUGGGCUUAAAGAGCACGUAGGCGGCCUACCAAGCGUCUUGUGAAAUCCCUCGGCUCAACCGAGGAAUGGCUGGGCGAACUGGUAGGCUUGAGGUAGGUAGGGGCGCAUGGAACUCUUGGUGGAGCGGUGGAAUGCGUAGAUAUCAAGAGGAACGCCGGUGGCGAAGGCGAUGCGCUGGGCCUAUCCUGACGCUGAGGUGCGAAAGCCAGGGGAGCGAACGGGAUUAGAUACCCCGGUAGUCCUGGCCCUAAACGAUGUCCACU